This is an RNA transcript of Daucus carota subsp. sativus, 1683 nucleotides long. It is a transcript of the gene named E3 ubiquitin-protein ligase SINAT3, with no coding region annotated. The transcript is spliced from 4 exons. The record is from RefSeq and is a predicted model, not a curated record. Lineage: Eukaryota; Viridiplantae; Streptophyta; Magnoliopsida; Apiales; Apiaceae.
AAAACACACAGAAAAUAAACAAAAAAUAAAACAAGCAUUUUCAUUUUUUUCAGGGCAGAUAGAUAAUUUGAUGUUUGUGUUCCUGAGGUCUAUCAAUUCAUAUUUAAACUGAAUUCGAUCAAUCAGUUGAUGCCCAUCUCCUUUUGUUUCUUCUUUCUUGAAAAUAAAGAAGAAACAAAAGGAGGGAAAGUUUUUCAGAUAAAAAUCAAAUCUUGAAGAUUUCAAGAAAAAGCUUGAAUCUUUACAAUUGUUGAUCAAAUUGAUGAAGUGGGUCGAUUGGUAUUGAUUAAAUUAAGUUUUAUAUAAUUAUGGAUAUGGAUAAUAUUGAGUGUGUAUCUACAGAUGAGAUGCUUAUGAUGGAAGAUGAUGAUUUGAUUAAUCAUCAUCAUCAUAGUAAUGCUUUUCCUGCUAAUCUUUUUAAUAAUCAUCAAAAUCUUUCAAAGCCUCAUCACAAGAAUAAUAAUAAUGAUGGUAGUAAUAAUAUUAAUGGGGCUCUUCUGGGGUUGACUCCAGCUACCAGUGUUCAUGAAUUGUUGGAAUGUCCUGUUUGUACCAAUUCUAUGUACCCUCCUAUUCAUCAGUGUCACAAUGGUCACACACUGUGCUCCACCUGUAAAGCAAGGGUUCAGAACCGAUGUCCUACUUGUAGACAAGAGCUUGGAGAUAUCAGGUGUUUGGCUUUAGAGAAGGUAGCUGAAUCACUUGAACUCCCAUGCAAAUAUCAAUUAAUGGGAUGUCCUGGGAUAUUUCCAUACUACAGCAAACUUAAGCAUGAAACAGUUUGCGACUUCCGACCAUACAAUUGCCCGUAUGCUGGAUCAGAGUGUUCUGUUACAGGAGACAUUCCUUAUCUGGUUUCCCAUCUGAGAGAUGACCAUAAAGUUGAUAUGCACACAGGAUGUACUUUCAACCAUCGCUACGUAAAAUCCAAUCCCCGGGAAGUUGAAAAUGCCACUUGGAUGCUUACAGUCUUCCAUUGCUUUGGCCAGUAUUUUUGCCUUCAUUUUGAAGCUUUUCAACUUGGCACGGCCCCUGUAUACAUGGCUUUUCUUCGUUUCAUGGGUGAUGAGGCUGAUGCUCGCAGUUACAGUUACAGCUUAGAGGUAGGAGCAAAUGGCAGAAAGCUCAUAUGGGAGGGUACCCCCCGUAGUGUCCGUGAUAGCCACAGGAAGGUGAGGGAUAGUCAUGAUGGCCUUAUAAUUCAAAGGAAUAUGGCACUCUUCUUCUCUGGUGGGGAUAGGAAAGAGCUAAAGCUAAGAGUUACAGGAAGAAUAUGGAAGGAACAACAUAGUCCAGAUUCUGGGGUGUGUAUACCAAAUGUUUCUCAGUAAAAUCGUAAACAAUUUGAAGGUAAGGUUCACCUGUCUCGUGUUGGAUCUUUGCAAGUUGCUCUUUUUAUUAUACUGGAAACUGGAAAACUUCUCAGGAAGCUUUAACUUAAGCUUCAGGCGUUUCUGGUAUCGCGGUAACUUCACAGCCCCGGAACAUGAUGCCUGGAGCCUCAGGAGAACACAAAACUACUGCAAUUUUUCGGGAAGGAUGACGAAACAUCAGUAUCUGAAGAUUCUGAAAUGAACUCGGGUUCGAUCAUCGUUCCUGACAAUAAAAAAACAAGAAAUUAUUCUGACAAUUUUACAUGUCGCUAUGCUAAUCCUACCAGGCCAUAUAAAUUGUUAAAAGCAA